This 253-nucleotide ribosomal RNA is filed under the name uncultured bacterium. RNAcentral describes it as "partial 16S ribosomal RNA". It matches the Rfam family "Bacterial small subunit ribosomal RNA", at positions 524 to 776 of the family's 1533-position model. The record is from RNAcentral.
UACAGGGGGUGCAAACGUUGCUCGGAAUCAUUGGGCGUAAAGCGCACGUAGGCGGUCUGUUAUGUCGGAUGUGAAAGCCCUUGGCUCAACUGAGGAAGUGCAUCCGAAACUGGCAGGCUAGAGUACUAAAGAGGGUCGCGGAAUUCCCGGUGUAGAGGUGAAAUUCGUAGAUAUUCGCAAGAACACCAGUGGCGAAGGCGGCUCACUGGCCCGGUACUGACGCUGAGGCACGAAAGCGUGGGGAGCAAACAGG